CCCUACGGGUGGCAGCAGUGAGGAAUAUUGGUCAAUGGGCGGGAGCCUGAACCAGCCAAGUCGCGUGAGGGUAGACGGUCCUAUGUAGUGUAAACCUCUUUAGGCGGGGAGCAAUGCCGGGCACGCGUGCCCGGAGGGAGAGUACCCGCAGAAUAAGCAUCGGCUAACUCCGUGCCAGCAGCCGCGGUAAUACGGGGGAUGCGAGCGUUAUCCGGAUUUAUUGGGUUAAAAGGAGGCGUAGGCGGAUUUUUAAGUCGGCGGUAAAAUGUCCGGGCUAAACCCGGGCAGGCCGUUGAAACUGGGGAUCUUGAGUGCGCGAGAAGUAUGCGGAAUGCGUGGUGUAGCGGUGAAAUGCAUAGAUAUCACGCAGAACUCCGAUUGCGAAGGCAGCAUACCGGCGCCCGACUGACGCUGAGGCACGAAAGCGUGGGGAUCGAACAGGAUUAGAUACCCCAGUAGUC
Molecule: ribosomal RNA, 461 nt
Filed under: uncultured bacterium
Lineage: Bacteria
Description: partial 16S ribosomal RNA
Rfam family: Bacterial small subunit ribosomal RNA
Source: RNAcentral